GGGGAAUAUUGGGCAAUGGACGCAAGUCUGACCCAGCAACGCCGCGUGAAGGAAGAAGGCUUUCGGGUUGUAAACUUCUUUUAAGGGGGAAGAGUAGAAGACGGUACCCCUUGAAUAAGCCACGGCUAACUACGUGCCAGCAGCCGCGGUAAUACGUAGGUGGCAAGCGUUGUCCGGAUUUACUGGGUGUAAAGGGCGUGUAGCCGGGAAGGCAAGUCAGAUGUGAAAUCUGGAGGCUCAACCUCCAAACUGCAUUUGAAACUGCUUUUCUUGAGUGUCGGAGAGGUAAUCGGAAUUCCUUGUGUAGCGGUGAAAUGCGUAGAUAUAAGGAGGAACACCGGUGGCGAAGGCGGCUUGCUGGACAAAUACUGACGCUGAGGUGCGAAAGCGUGGGGAGCAAACA
RNAcentral lists this ribosomal RNA (403 nucleotides) under uncultured Oscillibacter sp. Its description in RNAcentral is "bacterial SSU rRNA". It matches the Rfam family "Bacterial small subunit ribosomal RNA", at positions 356 to 774 of the family's 1533-position model. The record is from RNAcentral. Lineage: Bacteria; Bacillati; Bacillota; Clostridia; Eubacteriales; Oscillospiraceae.